ACUUCUUGCGUAUUGUUGUGGCUUAGUUGAGGUGUCUUGAAAGCUGAUUGGAAGUGAGAAGAGAGGUGUGUGGCAAAGUUACCGGUAAUAGGAAGUCACCUCCUCUGGGGUCACAUAUCCCUAAAUCCCUGUGAAGGAGGACAAGCAGCAUUGGUUUCCUCUGCAGAGCUGACACAAGACUUCACACAAGAAACACACACUGAGCUGAGAUUCUUCACAUGCUCCUGUAUCAUGCCAAGCCAGUCUCCACUCGUGGAAGGAACAGAAAACUUCACCAAUGUAGCCUGCCCAGGGACACCCCCAGCCCCUCAUCCAGGCCAGGGAGCUGCAUACUCAGGUGCUCAAGGUUCCACAACCCCCUCCAACCUGUCAACUUUACCGAACAACCACACUUUCUCCGGCCACACAGACAGUAUGAAGUCUAUCCAGACUGCGCCUCAGCCAGGACAACUACAGGGGUCACAAACUAUUUCCGACACCCACCACCAAUGUCUUGGACCUCAGCCCAAACCCAGAGCCCCAGAAGACGGGGGGGAAGAUGCAGAAGCAGCUCAGGGAAAGAAGCAUUACUGCGGCAUUUGUGGGCAUCUGCUGCUGGCUGUUGUCCUGGCUGUCUUCUCACCGCUGCUCGCUGUGGGAGUCUGCAUGGCUGAUAUGCUAACUGGAGAGUGCUGUCAUGAGCAUGGGAAAGACAUGGACUCUGUGGAUGACCCAUAGACUAUAUAAACACAGUCCUGAUGUGAAAGAGAAGAGGUAUAAGGGCUAUGUUCGCCUAUGUUUUUCCUGUAGAACCAAGUAUUCAUGAAUUACAGACUACUGAUAAAUAUUCAUUCAUAGCGUAAGUUUUUAGAUUUAUUUCCUGUCUUUCUGUUGCAUUUUGGUUCAGUUCAGUACUGUUUGAAAAUCUACUUGCAGAGAUUUCAAAUGUGCUUGAGAGGCAGUGAAAAGCUUACAUAUUUCAUAUUAAGUUAGAGCAAGGACAAUACUUAAAAUCUCUUUGUGGUGCAUUCAAGGAACCUUCAACAUUCAAGGAUUAAUACUGGCUGUAAAAUACUAUUGGAUUCAUGUUUUGUGACUGGAAAGGGAAAUGUUGGAAAGAAACAGUGACACCAACUGACCAAUCGACUGCAGUUCUGCAUUUGCUGUAAAAUCUGAGUGAUUUUUGUACAAUACUAAAAUGAAAGCAAUGGCUGUAAAGAACUUAAAUAAUAAAAAGAAUAAAAAGAAAA
Long non-coding RNA from Dicentrarchus labrax (European seabass), 1229 nucleotides. RefSeq lists it as uncharacterized. Lineage: Eukaryota; Metazoa; Chordata; Actinopteri; Moronidae. The record is from RefSeq and is a predicted model, not a curated record. The transcript is spliced from 2 exons.